RNAcentral lists this ribosomal RNA (494 nucleotides) under uncultured bacterium. RNAcentral's name for it is "partial 16S ribosomal RNA". It matches the Rfam family "Bacterial small subunit ribosomal RNA", at positions 28 to 506 of the family's 1533-position model. The record is from RNAcentral.
GACGAACGCUGGCGGCGUGCCUAAUACAUGCAAGUAGAACGCUGAAGGAGGAGCUUGCUUCUCCGGAUGAGUUGCGAACGGGUGAGUAACGCGUAGGUAACCUGCCUGGUAGCGGGGGAUAACUAUUGGAAACGAUAGCUAAUACCGCAUAAGAGUAGAUGUCGCAUGACAUUUGCUUAAAAGGUGCAACUGCACCACUACCAGAUGGACCUGCGUUGUAUUAGCUAGUUGGUGAGGUAACGGCUCACCAAGGCAACGAUACAUAGCCGACCUGAGAGGGUGAUCGGCCACACUGGGACUGAGACACGGCCCAGACUCCUACGGGAGGCAGCAGUAGGGAAUCUUCGGCAAUGGACGGAAGUCUGACCGAGCAACGCCGCGUGAGUGAAGAAGGUUUUCGGAUCGUAAAGCUCUGUUGUAAGAGAAGAACGAGUGUGAGAGUGGAAAGUUCACACUGUGACGGGAUCUUACCAGAAAGGGACGGCUAACUACGU